GACUCCGUAGCUCAGCUGGUAGAGCAAUUGACUCUUAAUCAAUGGGUCGAGGGUUCGAGCCCCUCCGGGGUCA
Bacteroidetes bacterium 38_7 is the source of this 73-nucleotide non-coding RNA. The record is from Rfam. Lineage: Bacteria; Pseudomonadati; Bacteroidota.